GGCUGCCGUAUGUGCGGUGAAUUUCGUGCGAGAGAAGAAUCGGCGGAUGUUUAACAUCAUUUCGUGUCCAUCGAUGUUUUUUUUCUUUGGAAAAUUGCGAGAAGGUUCGUCACUACAAAGCGACGAAAUUUCAUCACGAUCUGGGCGUUAAUGGCGAUAAAAAUCCGUCGAGAAGAUGCCAAGUUGUGAACAAUCUUCGCUCAAACUUGCUUGCGAAAAGUUGACUAACGUGUACUGAAACAGUGUGAAAGUGAAAGAAAAAAUCCUGAGAUGUCAUUUUAUAAAAUUCCAAAAAAUCCAGAGUUGAGGAAAAAGUGGGUAUGUUUGUUGAAAAGAAAAGAAAAGGAAUAAGGGACCCUGGAUCCAGUCAUAAAGUAUGCUCAGCACAUUUUGUGGGUGGUGCAAAAACAUACAGCAACAAUGUUCCACUACUACACACAAACCUAUGAAAAGCCCAACUAUUCGGACAAUGGCAGCCAAAAUUCCAGUAAUUACUGAACAAACAUAUUUCAAAAAUACAGGUUACAGUCAAUGGUUUUAAAGGACUUGUCUCAUUCCUUAGAAGUCCAACUCUUCAAAGUCAACAUCCAGGAGAUCUCUACAUCGUCCCUAAGAGGCUCAGUCAGGAUGUUGUGGAAUGCUUUUUCUCAAUCCAAAGACAAGCUUGAGGAGGAACAAACAACAUGACAGCAUUGGAAUCUACCCAUGUCAAUUGUAAAGAUUACUUGUACUUCUUUGACUUAUAUGAAAUAAUUUGAUUCAGUAUAUGUCAUUGAAAAUGUCAAAUAACAGAAUAAUUGGUUUAAACCCAUACAAGUACAAAAAAUCCAAAAUAAUUGGCAAAAAGAGGCUAAGUAGUGAUUGCAUUUCUUACCCUGUUCAG
Molecule: long non-coding RNA, 883 nt
Organism: Dendronephthya gigantea
Lineage: Eukaryota; Metazoa; Cnidaria; Anthozoa; Malacalcyonacea; Nephtheidae
Exons: 3
Source: RefSeq, a predicted model, not a curated record